CCUCCCAGGAGCUCAUUAGCAAAGUGGUUAUUAAUGGUGCCCUGGAAAUGUGUAUGAAAUGCGGGGAGGCCUCCACAACACAGGGUUUAAGAAGCAAGCGGAGAAGGCACCACUGAAUUCAGAGACCGCUGUGGCUGAGUGUGCUGUUCCUAGGAUGGCUUGGGUCACCACACUGCUGGUUCUGGUAGCCUGUUGGGCAGGUUCCAGCUACCAGUUCACUUUGACUCAGCCACUCGCUAUGUCAGUGACUCCAGGAGAAAGUGUCCAACUCGCAUGUGUUCUGAGCAGUGGAGACAGCAUCAGCGGUAGCUACAUACGCUGGUACCAGCAGAAGGAAGGGGAGAAACCAAGAUACCUGCUGUAUUACAAGGAUGAUUCUACCCAGGGUAAAGGCUCUGGUGUCCCUGACAGGUUCACUGCCUCUAAAGACACUUCCAGGAACACCUGCUUUUUAACGAUCAGCAGGGCUCAAGCAGAGGACGAUGCUGAUUACUAUUGCACAGACUGGGACGGCCCAGCUAACCAGUACACAGUGAUACAGCUGCAUGGAGAAGAGGAACAAAAACCCCUCUCACCCAUAGUGACACAGCACCUGGAGCCCACCUGUGUGUCUCUUGUUCCUAUUAGAUGGCCCAGUGGAUUGGCUCCUGGCUAAGUGUGAUCUCCAAUUCCUGUCAGUCCUCAUUGCCUUUCAAAGCUACGGGCUAUUCUGACUGAAGAACUCACCUGUGUUCUGACACAACAUCACUGCCCUGAUGCACAGACUGAGUUAAAGGCAGUAAGGAGAUCAAACCAGGGCACUAGGGAUCACAUCACCCAGUCUGACCUCCUGUGUGAGACAGGCCAUAGAACUUCACCCAGUAAUUCCUGGCUCACACCCAGAAACAUGUGGUUGAACUCACUCAUCUCUUUUAGAAAGACCCCCAGGCUUCAUGUUCCACAGCCCUUUGUAAUCUGCUCCAGGGCUUAAUUACUGUGCAGGUCAUUUCCAGUUUGAAUUUUUCUAACUGCAGCUCCCAGACAUUUGAUCUUGGUCUACCUUGUUCUCCUAGAUUAAACAGCCCCUGAGUACCUGCUCUUCUGCCGUGAUCAAGUCACGUCUUAACCUUCUCUUUGACAAGCUAAAUAGUGAGAUGGAAAGUAACUCAGCCUAAGAUUAGUGUUUUCCAGACCUUGAAAUAUUCACGUAGCUCUUCUCUGAACCCUCUCUAACUUGUCAACAGCCUUUUAAAAUUGCAGACCCCAGACCUGGACACACUGUUCCAUUCGUGGUCUCUUGAGUGACACAGACAAGGGUGAUCUCACCUUCCUUCUCCUCCAGCACACUCACAGACGCCAGUGCUGAUGUUCCUGUUUGCAUGGAGCUGUCCUCCUGCAAAUAGAGAGACUGAGCCUACGCCUCAGGUGCUGAGGGCUCCCAACUCCCACUGACUUCCCCCAGAGCUGCAUGUGCUCAGCACUUCCCAGGAUCGGGCCCAGUGGGUGCCCAAGCUCCAUGUGCUGCACGUUUGUAAAGCAAAACCAGUACAGACAAGGGGACCUAGAGCUGCUGCCAUUGGAGUCUUUUGCCCAGGUGCAACUUCUCUCCAGCUGAGCCGCAAAGUUCCAACUUGGUCUUUGUUCCUUUGAAACAAUGCCAAGGCUGGGAGGCCAGUGGGCUCUGCUGCUUUUUCCUUAUGCCUGUUUGUAAAGAUCAUUUAAUGCUUUGCUUUUGGUUUUCAGAAUAAUCCCCAAUAUUCAUUAAAACAUUCCUUAUACAAAGCCGUCCUUCGCGAGCAACCCUACGAUAACACACAUGAGCAGUAAGGGACUGGAUUUCCGGUUUUCCCUUUAAUCGCAAGCAGGGCAGGUGGUAUCUGAGCUCAUGGAGCUUGAGUGGGUGGGAUGCUGCGGCGCAUGACCAAGGGGAUCAUUGCUGUGGAUUUGCCCCGAUGUGUCUGGGCACUAAAGUGUGGGACUGUCUAAUGAGGCCCCAUCCAUACAAGGGAUCACACUUUCCUAACCUGUGAAACGACACUGCCCAUGUCCUUCCGUACAAAUCAGGUCUGUGCAGAGUGCCGGGCCUCUGAGCUGUGACCGAAGCAAUAACAGGAAGCGUGUCGGGGAGUCAGUGAGGCUGAGAGCACUGGGGCUGUUUAGAGACACAAGAGUUGGGGCUUGACUGAGCUCAAGUAAGGGGCUGCCAGGACCUCACGGGAUCUAAGCCCUCAGAGACUCUAUACAGACCAGCAGGUGGCAGUAUAAGAUCACCCAAUAGCAUUAGCAACACCCACCCGCUCUGUAACCUGAGUCCCAAGGGAAGGGCUUUGGGGAGUUGAAGGCCUUAGGGCUGUAGAAUUGAGACUAUGUAGAUCUCUCUAGACUAUCUGGAGGCAGGGCCGGCCGUAGACCAAAAGGCGCCCCCAGCGAGGAGUCUUUGGUGCCCCCAU
Mauremys reevesii (Reeves's turtle) is the source of this 2429-nucleotide non-coding RNA. The record is from the annotation of a RefSeq genome assembly. NCBI's taxonomy places the organism in Eukaryota, Metazoa, Chordata, Testudines, Geoemydidae.